CCUACGGGUGGCAGCAGUGGGGAAUAUUGGGCAAUGGGCGCAAGCCUGACCCAGCAACGCCGCGUGAAGGAAGAAGGCUUUCGGGUUGUAAACUUCUUUUGUCAGGGACGAAGCAAGUGACGGUACCUGACGAAUCAGCCACGGCUAACUACGUGCCAGCAGCCGCGGUAAUACGUAGGUGGCAAGCGUUAUCCGGAUUUAUUGGGUGUAAAGGGCGUGUAGGCGGGAAUGCAAGUCAGAUGUGAAAACUAUGGGCUCAACCCAUGGCCUGCAUUUGAAACUGUAGUUCUUGAGGGCUGGAGAGGCAAGCGGAAUUCGGUGUGUAGCGGUGAAAUGCGUAGAUAUAAGGAGGAACACCAGUGGCGAAGGCGGAUUGCUGGACAGUAACUGACGCUGAGGCGCGAAAGCGUGGGGAGCAAACAGGAUUAGAUACCCGAGUAGUC
RNAcentral lists this ribosomal RNA (443 nucleotides) under uncultured bacterium. RNAcentral's name for it is "partial 16S ribosomal RNA". It matches the Rfam family "Bacterial small subunit ribosomal RNA", at positions 338 to 795 of the family's 1533-position model. The record is from RNAcentral.